Molecule: ribosomal RNA, 253 nt
Filed under: uncultured bacterium
Lineage: Bacteria
Description: partial 16S ribosomal RNA
Rfam family: Bacterial small subunit ribosomal RNA
Source: RNAcentral
UACGUAGGUGGCAAGCGUUGUCCGGAUUUACUGGGUGUAAAGGGCGUGCAGCCGGAGAGACAAGUCAGAUGUGAAAUCCACGGGCUCAACCCGUGAACUGCAUUUGAAACUGUUUCCCUUGAGUGUCGGAGAGGUAAUCGGAAUUCCUUGUAUAGCGGUGAAAUGCGUAGAUAUAAGGAAGAACACCAGUGGCGAAGGCGGAUUACUGGACGAUAACUGACGGUGAGGCGCGAAAGCGUGGGGAGCAAACAGG